GGUAUGCUUUACACAUGCAAGUCGUACGAGAGUUUUUAACUCAAGUGGCGGACGGGUGAGUAACACGUAAGAAUUUGCCUUUAGGAGGGGGACAACAACUGGAAACGGUUGCUAAUACCCCAUGUGCUUUCGAGUGAAAUGGAUUUAUCCGCCUAGAGAGAAGCUUGCGGCUGAUUAGCUUGUUGGUGAGGUAAUGGCUUACCAAGGCGACGAUCAGUAUCUGGUUUGAGAGGACGAUCAGACACACUGGAACUGAGACACGGUCCAGACUCCUACGGGAGGCAGCAGUGGGGAAUUUUCCGCAAUGGGCGAAAGCCUGACGGAGCAAUACCGCGUGAGGGAUGACGGCCUAUGGGUUGUAAACCUCUUUUUUCAGGGAGGAAUCAAUGACGUGUACCUGAAGAAUAAGCAUCGGCUAACUCCGUGCCAGCAGCCGCGGUAAGACGGAGGAUGCAAGUGUUAUCCGGAAUCACUGGGCGUAAAGCGUCUGUAGGUGGUCAAAUAAGUCAACUGUUAAAUCUUGAGGCUCAACCUCAAAAUCGCAGUCGAAACUAUUAGACUAGAGUAUAGUAGGGGUAAAGGGAAUCUCCAGUGGAGCGGUGAAAUGCGUAGAGAUUGGAAAGAACACCGAUGGCGAAGGCACUUUACUGGGCUAUUACUAACACUGAGAGACGAAAGCUAGGGUAGCAAAUGGGAUUAGAUACCCCAGUAGUCCUAGCCGUAAACAAUGGAUACUAGAUGUUGAACAGAUCGACCUGUGCAGUAUCAAAGCUAACGCGUUAAGUAUCUCGCCUGGAAGUA
Molecule: ribosomal RNA, 801 nt
Filed under: uncultured diatom
Lineage: Eukaryota; Bacillariophyta
Description: bacterial SSU rRNA
Rfam family: Bacterial small subunit ribosomal RNA
Source: RNAcentral